This 253-nucleotide ribosomal RNA is filed under the name uncultured microorganism. RNAcentral's name for it is "partial 16S ribosomal RNA". It matches the Rfam family "Bacterial small subunit ribosomal RNA", at positions 524 to 776 of the family's 1533-position model. The record is from RNAcentral.
UACGGAGGGUGCAAGCGUUAAUCGGAAUUACUGGGCGUAAAGCGUACGUAGGCGGCUUGUUAAGCAAGAUGUGAAAUCCCCGGGCUCAACCUGGGAAUGGCAUUUUGAACUGGCAGGCUCGAGUUCUGAAGAGGGUGGUAGAAUUUCCAGUGUAGCGGUGAAAUGCGUAGAUAUAGGAAGGAACACCAGUGGCGAAGGCGGCCACCUGGACAGGUAUCGACGCUGAGGCGCGAAAGUGUGGGGAGCAAACAGG